This 253-nucleotide ribosomal RNA is filed under the name uncultured bacterium. RNAcentral describes it as "partial 16S ribosomal RNA". It matches the Rfam family "Bacterial small subunit ribosomal RNA", at positions 524 to 776 of the family's 1533-position model. The record is from RNAcentral.
UACGAGGGGGGCAAGCGUUGUUCGGAUUUAUUGGGCGUAAAGGGUGCGUAGGCGGUCUGGCAAGUCUUGUGUGAAAUCUUUGGGCUCAACCCAAAGCCUGCACGAGAAACUGCCGGGCUUGAGUAUGGGAGAGGUGAGUGGAAUUUCCGGUGUAGCGGUGAAAUGCGUAGAUAUCGGAAGGAACACCUGUGGCGAAAGCGGCUCACUGGACCAUAACUGACGCUGAGGCACGAAAGCGUGGGGAGCAAACAGG